RNAcentral lists this ribosomal RNA (533 nucleotides) under Pseudomonas sp. T3(2015). RNAcentral describes it as "bacterial SSU rRNA". It matches the Rfam family "Bacterial small subunit ribosomal RNA", at positions 71 to 600 of the family's 1533-position model. The record is from RNAcentral. Lineage: Bacteria; Pseudomonadati; Pseudomonadota; Gammaproteobacteria; Pseudomonadales; Pseudomonadaceae. RNAcentral also lists the same sequence under 1 other name.
GAAGAGAGCUUGCUCUCUGAUUCAGCGGCGGACGGGUGAGUAAUGCCUAGGAAUCUGCCUGGUAGUGGGGGACAACGUUUCGAAAGGAACGCUAAUACCGCAUACGUCCUACGGGAGAAAGCAGGGGACCUUCGGGCCUUGCGCUAUCAGAUGAGCCUAGGUCGGAUUAGCUAGUUGGUGAGGUAAUGGCUCACCAAGGCGACGAUCCGUAACUGGUCUGAGAGGAUGAUCAGUCACACUGGAACUGAGACACGGUCCAGACUCCUACGGGAGGCAGCAGUGGGGAAUAUUGGACAAUGGGCGAAAGCCUGAUCCAGCCAUGCCGCGUGUGUGAAGAAGGUCUUCGGAUUGUAAAGCACUUUAAGUUGGGAGGAAGGGCAGUAAGUUAAUACCUUGCUGUUUUGACGUUACCGACAGAAUAAGCACCGGCUAACUCUGUGCCAGCAGCCGCGGUAAUACAGAGGGUGCAAGCGUUAAUCGGAAUUACUGGGCGUAAAGCGCGCGUAGGUGGUUUGUUAAGUUGGAUGUGAAAG